AUUGAACGCUGGCGGCAUGCCUUACACAUGCAAGUCGAACGGCAGCACGGGAGCAAUCCUGGUGGCGAGUGGCGAACGGGUGAGUAAUAUAUUGGAACGUGCCCAGUCGUGGGGGAUAACGCAGCGAAAGCUGUGCUAAUACCGCAUACGAUCUAUGGAUGAAAGCGGGGGAUCGCAAGACCUCGCGCGAUUGGAGCGGCCGAUAUCAGAUUAGCUAGUUGGUGGGGUAAAGGCCCACCAAGGCGACGAUCUGUAGCUGGUCUGAGAGGACGACCAGCCUCAAUGGAACAGAGACACGGUCCAGACUCCUACGGGAGGCAGCAGUGGGGAAUGUUGGACAAUGGGCGCAAGCCUGAUCCAGCAAUGCCGCGUGCAGGAUGAAGGCCUUCGGGUUGUAAACUGCUUUUGUACGGAACGAAACGGUCCUUUCUAAUACAGAGGGCCAAUGACGGUACCGUAAGAAUAAGCACCGGCUAACUACGUGCCAGCCGCCGCCGUAA
RNAcentral lists this ribosomal RNA (500 nucleotides) under uncultured bacterium. RNAcentral describes it as "partial 16S ribosomal RNA". It matches the Rfam family "Bacterial small subunit ribosomal RNA", at positions 30 to 523 of the family's 1533-position model. The record is from RNAcentral.